AUGAAAUUGGUCAAAACUUACUUGCGCAAUCACCUCAAUGAUGAUAGCUUGACUAGUAUUGUUAUUUGUUAUGUGGUGAAAGAAGAAAUGAAAAAGGUCACCAAUGAUCGAGUGGUUGAGUAUUUCAUGCCUCGAAGGAAGAGAAUAUACUAA
Molecule: ribosomal RNA, 153 nt
Filed under: Triticum aestivum (bread wheat)
Lineage: Eukaryota; Viridiplantae; Streptophyta; Magnoliopsida; Poales; Poaceae
Description: partial small subunit ribosomal RNA
Source: RNAcentral